ACCAGGCACUGUGGCGCGUGGCUAUAGUCCCAGCUAUGCCUGAUGCUGAGGUGGGAGGAUCACUUGAGCCCAGGAGUUCUGGGCUGUAGUGCGCUAUGCCGAAUGGGUGUCCAUACUAAGUUUGAUAUCAAUACGGUGACCUCCCAGGAGCAGGGGACCACCAGCUUGCCUAAGUGGGGGUGAACUGGCCCAGGUCGGAAGUGGAACAGGUCAAAACUCCCAUGCUGAUCAGUAGUGGGAUUGCGCUUCUGAAUAGCCACUGCACUCCAGCCUGGGCAACAUAGCGAGACCCUGUCUCU
This 299-nucleotide signal recognition particle RNA is filed under the name Saimiri boliviensis boliviensis (Bolivian squirrel monkey). RNAcentral describes it as "Metazoan signal recognition particle RNA (ENSSBOG00000001561.1)". It matches the Rfam family "Metazoan signal recognition particle RNA". Rfam says of the family: The signal recognition particle (SRP) is a universally conserved ribonucleoprotein. It is involved in the co-translational targeting of proteins to membranes. The record is from RNAcentral. Lineage: Eukaryota; Metazoa; Chordata; Mammalia; Primates; Cebidae.